Molecule: transfer RNA, 73 nt
Filed under: Caudoviricetes sp.
Lineage: Duplodnaviria; Heunggongvirae; Uroviricota; Caudoviricetes
Description: tRNA-Met
Rfam family: tRNA
About the family: Transfer RNA (tRNA) molecules are approximately 80 nucleotides in length. Their secondary structure includes four short double-helical elements and three loops (D, anti-codon, and T loops). Further hydrogen bonds mediate the characteristic L-shaped molecular structure. tRNAs have two regions of fundamental functional importance: the anti-codon, which is responsible for specific mRNA codon recognition, and the 3' end, to which the tRNAs corresponding amino acid is attached (by aminoacyl-tRNA synthetases). tRNAs cope with the degeneracy of the genetic code in two manners: having more than one tRNA (with a specific anti-codon) for a particular amino acid; and 'wobble' base-pairing, i.e. permitting non-standard base-pairing at the 3rd anti-codon position.
Source: RNAcentral
GUGGCGUUAGUUCAGUUGGCAGAACACUUGGCUCAUAACCGAGUAGUCGUGGGUUCAAAGCCCUCACGCCGCA